GGGAAACUCACCAGGUCCAGACAUAAUAAGGAUUGACAGAUUGAUAGCUCUUUCUUGAUUUUAUGGGUGGUGGUGCAUGGCCGUUCUUAGUUCGUGGAGUGAUUUGUCUGGUUAAUUCCGUUAACGAACGAGACCUUAACCUGCUAAAUAGUAAUGCGUAUCUCCGGAUAUGCAGCUAACUUCUUAGAGGGACUUUGCGAUUUUAAGCGUAAGGAAGUUUGAGGCAAUAA
This 230-nucleotide ribosomal RNA is filed under the name uncultured eukaryote. RNAcentral describes it as "partial 18S ribosomal RNA". It matches the Rfam family "Eukaryotic small subunit ribosomal RNA", at positions 1208 to 1456 of the family's 1831-position model. The record is from RNAcentral.